UACGGUAAAAGAUAGUUAAGCAAAAGAAACGAAAAGGAUUAUAAGAUCUUUAGUAUAGGAGUAAAAUCUAGAUACUAAUAGUUAUACCGAGCAUAAUUUGUUGAUGUGCUGAGUCUGUGAUAGCUUUAAGGGAAACUGGGAUUGGAUACCCCAUUAUUUUUAGUUGUAAAUUUAGUUUAGGCUUACCAGAGUACUACGAAUAAAAAGUUUAAAACUCAAAGGGCUUGGCGGUGUUUUAGACCUCUCAGGGGAACCUGUCUCGUAAUCGACAAUCCGCGUUAAACCUAACCUUUUAUAGCAAUACAGCCUGUAUACCGUCGUCGUCAGGUAACUUCUUAAAAUAUAGUAGUUAGCUCGAGAAUUAGAUUAAUUAAAACGUCAGAUCAAGGUGCAGCUAAUAAAAAGGUGAGGAUGGGUUACAAUUACAUAUUUGUAAUUACGGAAAAACGCUUGAAAUGAAGCAUCUUAAAGGAGGACUUGAAAGUAAUUUUAAUAAUAUAAGUAAGAUGAAUAGGGCUCUGAAACGUG
RNAcentral lists this ribosomal RNA (528 nucleotides) under Conus canonicus. RNAcentral describes it as "partial 12S ribosomal RNA". It matches the Rfam family "Bacterial small subunit ribosomal RNA", at positions 621 to 1383 of the family's 1533-position model. The record is from RNAcentral. Lineage: Eukaryota; Metazoa; Mollusca; Gastropoda; Neogastropoda; Conidae.